UACGAACGCUGGCGGCGUGCUUAACACAUGCAAGUCGAACGGAAAGGCCCUGCUUUUGUGGGGUGCUCGAGUGGCGAACGGGUGAGUAACACGUGAGUAACCUGCCCUUGACUUUGGGAUAACUUCAGGAAACUGGGGCUAAUACCGUAUAGGAGCUCCUGCUGCAUGGUGGGGGUUGGAAAGUUUCGGCGGUUGGGGAUGGACUCGCGGCUUAUCAGCUUGUUGGUGGGGUAGUGGCUUACCAAGGCUUUGACGGGUAGCCGGCCUGAGAGGGUGACCGGCCACAUUGGGACUGAGAUACGGCCCAGAGUCCUACGGGAGGCAGCAGUGGGGAAUAUUGCACAAUGGGAGGAAGCCUGAUGCAGCAACGCCGCGUGCGGGAUGACGGCCUUCGGGUUGUAAACCGCUUUCGCCUGUGACGAAGCGUGAGUGACGGUAAUGGGUAAAGAAGCACCGGCUAACUACGUG
This 468-nucleotide ribosomal RNA is filed under the name uncultured bacterium. RNAcentral describes it as "partial 16S ribosomal RNA". It matches the Rfam family "Bacterial small subunit ribosomal RNA", at positions 29 to 507 of the family's 1533-position model. The record is from RNAcentral.